GGAAGUUACCCUGGAAACGGGAUGCAACAGCACUCAACCCACUUUAAGGCAUGGGAGAGGUGUGUGUUAAUGUUUGUCUACAUGUGUACCAUGCACAUGCAGUAAAUGCCUGGAGAGGCCAGGUGGGAGUGUCAUAUCCCCUACAAGUGAAUUUACAAGCAGUUUUGAGUUAUCAUGUGGAUGCUAGGACCUGAAUCUUCAUCCUCUGAAAGAACUCACUAGAGGAAGGAACUGUGCAAAGGAGUCAUUCUGUGUGCACACACAAGCUCAACUUGAGGGAACCUUUGCUACCUAUGACCACACAUCUCUACUCCGUUUCCAGUCACGUUUCCUGUCUCUCCCAGAUCAGAUUCUAGUACCAACAUCUUGGCUUAAAGUGAACAAAAGUUUGCUGAACUUUCAGAGCAAUGGCUUCUAUUUUUCCUGAGGCUGGGAUGUCC
Mus caroli (Ryukyu mouse) is the source of this 440-nucleotide long non-coding RNA. RefSeq lists it as uncharacterized. NCBI's taxonomy places the organism in Eukaryota, Metazoa, Chordata, Mammalia, Rodentia, Muridae. The record is from RefSeq and is a predicted model, not a curated record.